RNAcentral lists this ribosomal RNA (691 nucleotides) under uncultured Enterobacteriaceae bacterium. Its description in RNAcentral is "bacterial SSU rRNA". It matches the Rfam family "Bacterial small subunit ribosomal RNA", at positions 812 to 1502 of the family's 1533-position model. Lineage: Bacteria; Pseudomonadati; Pseudomonadota; Gammaproteobacteria; Enterobacterales; Enterobacteriaceae. The record is from RNAcentral.
UCGAUUUGGAGGUUGUUCCCGUGAGGAGUCGCCUCCGGAGCUAACGCGUUAAAUCGACCGCCUGGGGAGUACGGCCGCAAGGUUAAAACUCAAAUGAAUUGACGGGGGCCCGCACCAGCGGUGGAGCAUGUGGUUUAAUUUGAUGCAACGCGAAGAACCUUACCUACUCUUGACAUCCAGAGAAUUUAGCAGAGAUGCUUUAGUGCCUUCGGGAACUCUGAGACAGGUGCUGCAUGGCAGUCGUCAGCUCGUGUUGUGAAAUGUUGGGUUAAGUCCCGCAACGAGCGCAACCCUUAUCCUUUGUUGCCAGCACAUUAUGGUGGGAACUCAAAGGAGACUGCCGGUGAUAAACCGGAGGAAGGUGGGGAUGACGUCAAGUCAUCAUGGCCCUUACGAGUAGGGCUACACACGUGCUACAAUGGCGUAUACAAAGAGAAGCGACCUCGCGAGAGCAAGCGGAACUCAUAAAGUACGUCGUAGUCCGGAUUGGAGUCUGCAACUCGACUCCAUGAAGUCGGAAUCGCUAGUAAUCGUAGAUCAGAAUGCUACGGCGAAUACGUUCCCGGGCCUUGUACACACCGCCCGUCACACCAUGGGAGUGGGUUGCAAAAGAAGUAGGUAGCUUAACCUUCGGGAGGGCGCUUACCACUUUGUGAUUCAUGACUGGGGUGAAGUCGUAACAAGGUAACCA